AUUGAACGCUGGCGGCAGGCCUAACACAUGCGAGUCGAGCGGAUGAAGGGAGCUUGCUCCUGGAUUCAGCGGCGGACGGGUGAGUAAUGCCUAGGAAUCUGCCUGGUAGUGGGGGAUAACGUCCGGAAACGGGCGCUAAUACCGCAUACGUCCUGAGGGAGAAAGUGGGGGAUCUUCGGACCUCACGCUAUCAGAUGAGCCUAGGUCGGAUUAGCUAGUUGGUGGGGUAAAGGCCUACCAAGGCGACGAUCCGUAACUGGUCUGAGAGGAUGAUCAGUCACACUGGAACUGAGACACGGUCCAGACUCCUACGGGAGGCAGCAGUGGGGAAUAUUGGACAAUGGGCGAAAGCCUGAUCCAGCCAUGCCGCGUAUGUGAAGAAGGUCUUCGGAUUGUAAAGCACUUUAAGUUGGGAGGAAGGGCAGUAAGUUAAUACCUUGCUGUUUUGACGUUACCAACAGAAUAAGCACCGGCUAACUUCGUG
This 484-nucleotide ribosomal RNA is filed under the name uncultured bacterium. Its description in RNAcentral is "partial 16S ribosomal RNA". It matches the Rfam family "Bacterial small subunit ribosomal RNA", at positions 30 to 507 of the family's 1533-position model. The record is from RNAcentral.